AGUUUAUAAGCUAUAAAGCAUAUAUUUUGAAAAUAUAAGAUAAAGAUUAAUAAUCUUUAUAAACUU
Molecule: transfer RNA, 66 nt
Filed under: Nesidiocoris tenuis
Lineage: Eukaryota; Metazoa; Arthropoda; Insecta; Hemiptera; Miridae
Description: tRNA-Ser
Source: RNAcentral